RNAcentral lists this ribosomal RNA (280 nucleotides) under uncultured bacterium. RNAcentral's name for it is "partial 16S ribosomal RNA". It matches the Rfam family "Bacterial small subunit ribosomal RNA", at positions 506 to 784 of the family's 1533-position model. The record is from RNAcentral.
UGCCAGCAGCCGCGGUAACACGGGGGGCGCAAGCGUUAUUCGGAAUUAUUAGGCUUAAAGCGUGCGCAGCCGGACUCAGAAGUCUUCGGUGAAAGCCUACCGCUUAACGGUAGGAAUUGCUGGAGAAACCACGAGUCUUGGGACUGGAAGAGGUAAGCGGUACUGAUGGGGUAGCGGUGAAAUGCGUAGAUCCUAUCGGGACCACCUGUGGCGAAGGCGGCUUACUGGGACAGAUCCGACGGUCAGGCACGAAAGCUAGGGUAGCGAAGCGGAUUAGAUA